This 186-nucleotide unclassified non-coding RNA is filed under the name soil metagenome. Its description in RNAcentral is "partial internal transcribed spacer 1". The record is from RNAcentral.
UUGAAUGAACUUAGAGUCGGUUGUCGCUGGCUGUCUUUUGCAGCAUGUACACGCCUUCUCUUUUCAUCCACACACACCCCUGUGCACUUGUGAGACUGGAGGCCGUAAAAAGCCUUCAGUCUGCUAAAUUCAUAUACAAACUCAUUUAAUUGAACUGAAUGUACUUGAUGUAACGCAUCAUUGAAC